Long non-coding RNA from Capsicum annuum, 629 nucleotides. RefSeq lists it as uncharacterized. The transcript is spliced from 3 exons. The record is from RefSeq and is a predicted model, not a curated record. Lineage: Eukaryota; Viridiplantae; Streptophyta; Magnoliopsida; Solanales; Solanaceae.
GUUCUAGAUGUAUAUAGAGAGAGAUGAGAGAGUGGGCUAAAGCUCAUUUAACAAAAAAUAAAAUAAGAAACAAAGAGAAAAAGUGGGCCAAGGACCCAUUUGCCAAAAACAUAAAUUAAGGACCUUGGGUUAGAGAGAAAACACACAACAGUAGCAUCAAAUAAAAAAUAAUUGGCUUGCCUAUAUACUGGAGAAGAAAAUCGAAGGAGGAAGAAAAAGAUGGUGGUUUGACAGGAGAUUCCUUUUAGGAUUAAGAAAAUUCAGGUGAUGGUGAGGAUUUCAUUAGCUAGAGCAUUCAAGUUGGCAUAUUCGUGGAAAUGCAGGUGACAAUGAGGAUUCGUUAGCUAAAGCAUUUGAGUUGGAAUAUUCCUAGUGAGCCCCACACUUGUUUACAUGGACAAUAGUUUAUUUAUUUGUUAUGUUUUUUUUCUUGAAAAUUCUUAGAGUCCUUCCAUAGUCAUUUUCUUAGAGUUUAAGUAUCUAUUGUUAUUAUGGACUUGUGGAGUAUUUGACUUCUUCUCAUAUUUUGGAGAUGAAUUUAGUACUGUUAUUUCACUGUGAAUAGGUUGUUAAUGGUAUUGGUGCAUAGUUAAUAGUAUUGGUGCAUUACUGGUGGUAUUGGUGUGUUC